Antechinus flavipes (yellow-footed antechinus) is the source of this 965-nucleotide long non-coding RNA. RefSeq lists it as uncharacterized. NCBI's taxonomy places the organism in Eukaryota, Metazoa, Chordata, Mammalia, Dasyuromorphia, Dasyuridae. The record is from RefSeq and is a predicted model, not a curated record. The transcript has 4 exons.
GUCAACCUGCCAUCUGGGGGAGGGGGUGGGAGGAGGGAAAAAAUUGGAACAGAAGGUUUUGCAAUUGUCAAUGCUGUAAAAUUACCCAUGCAUAUAACUUGUAAAUAAAAAGCUACACACACACACACACACACACACACACACCUGGGGUUCACACUCUGGAGAAAACUGGUAUAUUUUCAUAACUGUAUUUAAACGACUGGUUUCCUUUGAAAGCCUAUUUCAUUCCUUUAGAAACAGUAUUCUGAUAAGGGGUAAACAAGCUUCAGAUUUCCUAAGGAGUCCGGGGCUCAAAAAAGGUUAAUAAAUAACACAGCAAAUUAGUCUAGGUUUUGUUAGGAACCUGGGAAACUCUGCUUUGGGGUGUCUGGACAUCUUUGCUCAGAGGCAUGCCCAAGCAUUUUACCCCACUUCCCAUGGGAGACCCAGAUGUUAAAGCUGUUAAUUGGGCGUCUCCCGCAAACAAGGCUAGGGAAUCCCGUGGAGCCACGUGGAGACCGUGUGUGUGCGCGCGUGCGCAUGUAAGCAGAUGGUAUGCUGGUCGGCCUGUGCAAAUGGGGAAGAGAGACGAGACCUUUGGGAGUCAAGGCCCGGAAAUCCUCUCAUACGGAAAUCCCUCUCUUGGUUCUCUUUGUGAGUGCCUCUGCUGCCAGAAGGUGUGCCUGGACCAGGUUCUGCACGUGGACCCAGUUCAUUCGUGUCUUGGGAUCCCCAAAUUUGAAGGCUCUAACAUUAUGGGACUGUUCUAAUUUGGUGCUCGGGAGUGCGUAUCCUGAGACGGUGCCUGAGACGCAAAGGACGAGGCUCAGCCGCACUUAGGGUCCAAGCUGGGAUCUGGUUCUUACUGGCAGGGCAGAGGGACCCCCAUCCCCAUCCACCAGGUACCGCCUCCCCAGCGCCCAUAUCCCGCCACCAGCACUCCAGACCCGGGCGGGAGCGCCUCCGCCUUUCCCUCAUCCCCCCAG